RNAcentral lists this ribosomal RNA (482 nucleotides) under uncultured bacterium. RNAcentral describes it as "partial 16S ribosomal RNA". It matches the Rfam family "Bacterial small subunit ribosomal RNA", at positions 30 to 507 of the family's 1533-position model. The record is from RNAcentral.
AUUGAACGCUGGCGGCAUGCCUUACACAUGCAAGUCGAACGGUAACGGGCCUUCGAGUGCCGACGAGUGGCGAACGGGGGAGUAAUACAUCGGAACGUGCCCGAUCGUGGGGGAUAACGAGGCGAAAGCUUUGCUAAUACCGCAUACGAUCUACGGAUGAAAGCAGGGGACCGCAAGGCCUUGCGCGGGCGGAGCGGCCGAUGGCAGAUUAGGUAGUUGGUGGGAUAAAAGCUUACCAAGCCGACGAUCUGUAGCUGGUCUGAGAGGAUGAUCAGCCACACUGGGACUGAGACACGGCCCAGACUCCUACGGGAGGCAGCAGUGGGGAAUUUUGGACAAUGGGCGCAGGCCUGAUCCAGCCAUGCCGCGUGCAGGAUGAAGGCCUUCGGGUUGUAAACUGCUUUUGUACGGAACGAAAAGCCUUCUUUUAAUACAGGAGGGUCAUGACGGUACCGUAAGAAUAAGCACCGGCUAACUACGUG